RNAcentral lists this ribosomal RNA (430 nucleotides) under uncultured bacterium. RNAcentral's name for it is "bacterial SSU rRNA". It matches the Rfam family "Bacterial small subunit ribosomal RNA", at positions 354 to 796 of the family's 1533-position model. The record is from RNAcentral.
GUGGGGAAUAUUGCACAAUGGGCGAAAGCCUGAUGCAGCAACGCCGCGUGAGGGACGACGGCCUUCGGGUUGUAAACCUCUUUUAGUAGGGAAGAAGCGAAAGUGACGGUACCUGCAGAAAAAGCACCGGCUAACUACGUGCCAGCAGCCGCGGUAAUACGUAGGGUGCAAGCGUUAUCCGGAAUUAUUGGGCGUAAAGAGCUCGUAGGCGGUCUGUCGCGUCUGCUGUGAAAACUGGAGGCUCAACCUCCAGCCUGCAGUGGGUACGGGCAGACUAGAGUGCCGUAGGGGAGAUUGGAAUUCCUGGUGUAGCGGUGGAAUGCGCAGAUAUCAGGAGGAACACCGAUGGCGAAGGCAGAUCUCUGGGCCGUAACUGACGCUGAGGAGCGAAAGCGUGGGGAGCGAACAGGAUUAGAUACCCUGGUAGGCC